This is a long non-coding RNA of Heterocephalus glaber (naked mole-rat), 1936 nucleotides long. The record is from Ensembl. NCBI's taxonomy places the organism in Eukaryota, Metazoa, Chordata, Mammalia, Rodentia, Bathyergidae.
CUGGAGAGUGCCCUGCCCAGGGUGCCGGCUCCCCGCGGCCUCCCUUCCCCCAAAAUGCAGCUGGGAGGACCCUAGGCCCUGGCUCCACCUCCUCGAGACAGAGCUCAGGGUCCCCUUCCUGAAAGGACACAUUAACAAAGAGCAAUGCGAGAGAGAAAGAGAGUAGAGCCCUUGUCCUCUCUGCUCUGAGGAAAAUGAGAGCGACAGUUAAUGGUCCUGAGUCAUUUUCUGGGAAGAUGAGGGUGAUUUCCUGCUACAGGAAGGCACCCAACCGGGAGCCUGGUCCAGACUAGCAGGUGCUCCUACAGGGUUUGCUGAGUGAGCCUGGGAGAGCUGUGUGGGACUCCGUGGCCUCUGAAUGCUCUCCCCUCACCAGCCUGGGAGAACCUGGGAAAGACAAGGACCUCCCAGAAGUUGAGGAGCAGGGAGGGAGUGCGGGGUGGGAGAAGGGACCUCUUUUGUUGUUUUUUGAGACAGGAUCUUGCUGUGUGGUAUAGGGUGGCCUCGAACUCAUGACAAUCCUCCUGCCUCAGCCUCCCCAGUGCUGGGAUCACAGGUGUGCGCCACCACACCGGGCGGCCCCUCCUCUUCACACAGCCCCCUCUCUCCUCCUGGAAGCUACUGCACCCUGGGACUCCAGCCCAGAGGCUGGAGGGGGACUUUCUGUCUUCCCUCAGGUCACCCUGAUGUGGCCAGCAUGUGGGGCCUGGCCUGGGCGCAGCACCUGCUCGGCCAGUCUAGGUUGCUGGGCUGCUGGAAUGAGGGCCACGGCUGUGGCCUCCACACAGGGGCCUGGAAGGGCCUCAGUGGCCACAGGGGAUCAGCUCCGGGCCUUGGUCCUCCGUCUUCACAAAGCGCCUGGUGACCAGGAGAAUGGGCCGGUCACCUCCUUCCACAGAUUCUGCAUCACCAUGCCCGACUCCUAGCAGCCCUGGGCUCAGCCCUGAGCCUCGACUUCCUUCUCUGUCUGCUGAGGGAUGUGUGCACUGACCCCCCAAUCAACUGUAAGGAGGGCGGGGGUGGAAAAGCUGAGGACCCAGCCUGAAGUGCACAUCCACUGGCAACCCCAUCUGCGAGCCUCCACCUCCUCCUGAAUGAGGACCUGAGCUCCCCCUUGCAGUGGAGGCUGACUCAGGAUGCACUUCAGAGGAGGGAGGUGCAGUGUCCCCAGCCUGGCAGGUGGGGGCUUGGACUCCUCAGAGCCACCGCACAACCCGAGCCUGCACCCUGGGAAUCCCGCAGGGCACAGCCAAAGCCCCCUGAACCCUGAGCCACGCUGCCACCUUCUGGGCCCAGGGCCUGGGCUGGAUGUUGAGCAGUGGCCCCAUCAGAGGCCCAGGCGUCUCCCUGGUCUGAGCAUGCGGAAGUCCUGCAGCUGUCACACCCACAUCUCCUGGGCGCAGAAAACCUAAAAGCUAGAUGAGCGGCUUAUGUGAAAGUCAUUCCUCCCCACCACGAGGGACGUUUUGGUACUCUGUGCACAGCUAUAAUCCCAGCACUCUGGGAGGCUGAGGCAGGAGGAUCAGAAGUUUGAUCCCAGCCUGGGCAACUUAGCAAGUGAAUGAGGAGACCCUGCCUUAAAAUAAAAAAUAAAAAAGGGCUGGGGAUGGAGCUCAGUGAAAGGUCCUGGGUUCAAUCCCCGGUACUGGAAUAAAGGAAAAAAGAAAAGAGAGCAAGAUGGGUUUGGGUUGUGGGCAGGACCAGCUGAGCAAACCUGGUAGAAAGGGUGUUUGUGACCACACCAUCUCAUCGGCAUCAGCUUGGACAGAACGUGCUGAGGAGAAGAACAAAGCAAGCAUCAGCCCCGAGUGACCCAAAGGUGAUAACCGGCAGCAGCAGUUGUAGGAGGGCAGGGCGGUGAGGCCAGGGUGGAGGAGGAUUUCUGUCUUCCCCAGCAAGGCUCGGGAGAGGAGCUGAGCGUGCAGGUGGCCUGGCG